UUCACACACACGCGCACACACACAUAUAGCCCUUUUUUCCCCUCUGGGAUGUAUUCAACACACUUGUAUAGGUGAACUCAUCGGGGUGGAGUACCUGUGCAUUAGGACGUCAGCAGGGAUACAGAUGCUCCAGAUGGGCUUAGCGAUGAGGACUUUCCAGAGCUGGAGGACGAUGGAUUCAAGGAUGUGGACGUGGGGUUCAAUGAGUCUUGAACCAUUGCCGCAUCUCCAUCACGCAGCAGUGGGACCUCGUUCUCUGGCUGCUUCUUUGCGGACCCGGUCGUAGCGAGCCAAGUCCUCUGCGUCUGGGCUGACCAAGCAGACCGUGCCUGAUGGCCCUGUUGCUACCCAGACUCAGGCUUUGUCUGGGGAUGAGGAGGAUAUAAGAGAGCCUGGGACCUGCUGCUGUUCUAGGUUACCAUCACGUAGUAAACCUGGCCAACAGUCUGGUGGACCUGCGUCACCAGGCCUUUGUGACACAGCAGAGGGUAGACAGCAUCGUUGCUCUCUGGGAAAAACUGCCAGAGAGUGACUUGUCAAGGAAUGGUUUAAAAAGCAGCCACUCUAAGACCUCUGUUGUAGCUUGAACAGAGAGUCUGAAGUGCUACUUCCCUGGACAAGGCAGUGGGCCUUCCUCGUGUCCCAGCGUCAGCCGCCUUGUUGGCUUCACCUGGCUGGUCAGACCAUCACUGGCAUCAGGGUAAACAGAACCAAUGCCAGGAAGAAAAAGCAGGAACAGGAUGUUCUGUGCCUGAGCGUUGGCCAGUCCAACACUCCGAUGGUGGCCCCAGAACCCCUCCCUCCCGCACUGAGUAAGCUCCUGGAGCGUCGGACUGACGGACACCCUGCUUUUGACUUUAACAUCCAGCAGGAUGUGUCUGGGCAGGCUUUUCAGCGUGUCCAAGGCCAGCCUCCUCUUCUUCCUGGUGAGACCCUGACAUGCUCUGGUCUAGAAGGCGACGUGGCUUCUGCCACCAAUGCCACUCCUGUGCUGGCUGGGCCCCAGACCACAGCAUGGCAGUGAAAGAAAAAGGCAGAGGCCGAGGCCGCCGCCGCUGCCCAUGGACAGGCCGUCCCCACGAAGCGGUGCAAGCAUGAACGCUAUGCCUGCAAAUAGUGUGGCCAACCCAAGACUAAAGAGUUUGGACACAGCAGGUUUCGUGGGGUGCACUUCUGCGCAGCAGCAACAGCAGGGAAGACAGUGGAGCAGUGGAUGGAGGAGAUGAAGAGAGGAGAUGUUGGACAGGGUCAGUGAUCUGUUGACCACCCCACUCACCCCAUUGUAAAUAGUUGUAUAUAGUUUUAUAUGUAUUCCUAUUUUCAUGAUUUGUUCUGUGUGUUGUGAAUGAGCACUGUUUCAU
Non-coding RNA from Electrophorus electricus (electric eel), 1361 nucleotides. The record is from RefSeq and is a predicted model, not a curated record. NCBI's taxonomy places the organism in Eukaryota, Metazoa, Chordata, Actinopteri, Gymnotiformes, Gymnotidae.